UGGGGAAUAUUGCACAAUGGGCGCAAGCCUGAUGCAGCCAUGCCGCGUGUGUGAAGAAGGCCUUCGGGUUGUAAAGCACUUUCAGCGAGGAGGAAGGUGGUGAGCUUAAUACGCUCAUCAAUUGACGUUACUCGCAGAAGAAGCACCGGCUAACUCCGUGCCAGCAGCCGCGGUAAUACGGAGGGUGCAAGCGUUAAUCGGAAUUACUGGGCGUAAAGCGCACGCAGGCGGUUUGUUAAGUCAGAUGUGAAAUCCCCGGGCUCAACCUGGGAACUGCAUUUGAAACUGGCAAGCUAGAGUCUCGUAGAGGGGGGUAGAAUUCCAGGUGUAGCGGUGAAAUGCGUAGAGAUCUGGAGGAAUACCGGUGGCGAAGGCGGCCCCCUGGACGAAGACUGACGCUCAGGUGCGAAAAGCGUGGGGAGCAAAACAGGAUUAGAUACCCUGGUAGUCCACGCUGUAAAACGAUGUCGAUUUUGGAGGUUGUGCCCUUGAGGCGUGGCUUCCGGAGCUAACGCGUUAAAUCGACCGCCUGGGGAGUACGGCCGCAAGGUUAAAACUCAAAUGAAUUGACGGGGUCAUAGCUGUUUCCU
RNAcentral lists this ribosomal RNA (590 nucleotides) under uncultured bacterium. RNAcentral's name for it is "partial 16S ribosomal RNA". It matches the Rfam family "Bacterial small subunit ribosomal RNA", at positions 355 to 1375 of the family's 1533-position model. The record is from RNAcentral.